GGAGAGGUGUCCGAGCGGCUGAAGGAGCAGCACUGGAAAUGCUGUAUACGCGCAAGUGUAUCGGGGGUUCGAAUCCCCCCCUCUCCG
RNAcentral lists this transfer RNA (87 nucleotides) under Phycisphaeraceae bacterium. RNAcentral describes it as "tRNA-Ser". It matches the Rfam family "tRNA". Rfam says of the family: Transfer RNA (tRNA) molecules are approximately 80 nucleotides in length. Their secondary structure includes four short double-helical elements and three loops (D, anti-codon, and T loops). Lineage: Bacteria; Pseudomonadati; Planctomycetota; Phycisphaerae; Phycisphaerales; Phycisphaeraceae. The record is from RNAcentral. RNAcentral also lists the same sequence under 3 other names.